GACGUAGGGCGCGAGCGUUGUCCGGAUUUAUUGGGCGUAAAGAGCUCGUAGGCGGCUCAUCGCGUCUGCCGUGAAAACCCGCAGCUCAACUGCGGGCUUGCGGUUGAUACGGGUGGGCUGGAGUUCGGUAGGGGAGACUGGAAUUCCUGGUGUAGCGGUGAAAUGCGCAGAUAUCAGGAGGAACACCGGUGGCGAAGGCGGUUCUCUGGGCAUGUCCUGACGCUGAGGAGCGAAAGUGUGGGGAGCGAACAGG
Molecule: ribosomal RNA, 253 nt
Filed under: uncultured bacterium
Lineage: Bacteria
Description: partial 16S ribosomal RNA
Rfam family: Bacterial small subunit ribosomal RNA
Source: RNAcentral